AUUGAACGCUGGCGGCAGGCCUAACACAUGCAAGUCGAGCGGAUGAAGGGAGCUUGCUCCUGGAUUCAGCGGCGGACGGGUGGGUAAUGCCUAGGAAUCUGCCUGGUAGUGGGGGAUAACGUCCGGAAACGGGCGCUAAUACCGCAUACGUCCUGAGGGAGAAAGUGGGGGAUCUUCGGACCUCACGCUAUCAGAUGAGCCUAGGUCGGAUUAGCUAGUUGGUGUGGUAAAGGCCUACCAAGGCGACGAUCCGUAACUGGUCUGAGAGGAUGAUCAGUCACACUGGAACUGAGACACGGUCCAGACUCCUACGGGAGGCAGCAGUGGGGAAUAUUGGACAAUGGGCGCAAGCCUGAUCCAGCCAUGCCGCGUGUGUGAAGAAGGUCUUCGGAUUGUAAAGCACUUUAAGUUGGGAAGAAGAGCAGUAAGUUAAUACCUUGCUGUUUUGACGGUACCAACAGAAUAAGCACCGGCUAACUUCGUG
RNAcentral lists this ribosomal RNA (484 nucleotides) under uncultured bacterium. RNAcentral's name for it is "partial 16S ribosomal RNA". It matches the Rfam family "Bacterial small subunit ribosomal RNA", at positions 30 to 507 of the family's 1533-position model. The record is from RNAcentral.